ACCCAACUGGCUUCGCAGUUGGGAGACCUAGCAACAAAGUCUCCAAAUGGCACCAGAAGAAAAGGAAAACGAAAAAUAAGAGGUUAACGCAAGGAUUCAUUUCCUCAAUGCCAUGGCAUACCAUCUUUGCAUUUCUGAAUCCACUGCUAAUCGGCAUCCUUCAAGUGAAAUGUCAAGGCGCAACCAAGUCUCCAUUUGACACACACCAGGAAGUCAUGUGGACAUUUUUGCUGGCAACGUUAGUCUACUGCUUUGCAUUUGCAGCUAACAUGAAAUCACGCCGUAAUUGCUCUACAGUCUACUCUCGAAUCUCUGGCCAUUUUGCUCUUCUCACUGGAUCUCUUUCCUCGGUCUCGUUGUUCUCCAUCUUUCUUCCAAGGUUUCCUAAUGAGCAGCUUGUUAUCCUCUUGUGGAUCAUCAUGCCUUUGAUUGUUGCAAGAAAGUGGAUCUGUCGAGUGUGCCAAAAGCUUUGCAAAUCGACUUCAAAGGCAACCCACUUUUUAGUUCACUGCAUUUGUCGUGGCUUCUUCGGAAGAAACUUGAUGGAGCAGCCACAAUUGCCUGUGUAGCUCUAGCCUUGCUCUUCCUUCGGUGGGGGUGGGAAUAUAUAUGUAAAAUGGUUUAGAGUCUAGAAUCAUAAAACACAGAUGCAUUGCAAGUUAUGUGUGAUAACAAUUAGUGUUCUUAAAUAUAUUAUAGAUGUUGGACAUCAGUUGUUCCUC
Molecule: long non-coding RNA, 722 nt
Organism: Prunus persica (peach)
Lineage: Eukaryota; Viridiplantae; Streptophyta; Magnoliopsida; Rosales; Rosaceae
Exons: 2
Source: RefSeq, a predicted model, not a curated record